GACGAACGCUGGCGGCGCGCCUAACACAUGCAAGUCGAACGAGCGAGAGAGAGUUUGCUUUCUCGAGCGAGUGGCGAACGGGUGAGUAACGCGUGAGGAACCUGCCUCAAAGAGGGGACAACAGUUGGAACGACUGCUAAUACCGCAUAAGCCCACGGCUCGGCAUCGAGCAGAGGGAAAGGAGCAAUCCGCUUUGAGAUGGCCUCGCGUCCGAUUAGCUAGUUGGUGAGGUAACGGCCCGACCAAGGCAACGAUCGGUAGCCGGACUGAGAGGUUGAACGGCCACAUUGGGACUGAGACACGGCCCAGACUCCUACGGGAGGCAGCAGUGGGGAAUAUUGCACAAUGGGGGAAACCCUGAUGCAGCGACGCCGCGUGGAGGAAGAAGGUCUUCGGAUUGUAAACUCCUGUUGUUGAGGAAGAUAAUGACGGUACUCAACAAGGAAGUGACGGCUAACUACGUG
Molecule: ribosomal RNA, 464 nt
Filed under: uncultured bacterium
Lineage: Bacteria
Description: bacterial SSU rRNA
Rfam family: Bacterial small subunit ribosomal RNA
Source: RNAcentral